GAUGAACGCUGGCGGUAUGCUUAACACAUGCAAGUCGAACGGACUCUUCGGAGUUAGUGGCGGACGGGUGAGUAACGCGUGAGAAUCUGGCUUUGGGUUCGGGACAACCACUGGAAACGGUGGCUAAUACCGGAUGUGCCGAGAGGUAAAAGAGAAAUUGCCUGAAGAUGAGCUCGCGUCUGAUUAGCUAGUUGGUGAGGUAAAGGCUCACCAAGGCAGCGAUCAGUAGCUGGUCUGAGGGGAUGACCAGCCACACUGGGACUGAGACACGGCCCAGACUCCUACGGGAGGCAGCAGUGGGGAAUUUUCCGCAAUGGGCGAAAGCCUGACGGAGCAAUACCGCGUGAGAGAAGAAGGCUCUUGGGUUGUAAACCUCUUUUCUUAGGGAAGAACAAAAUGACGGUACCUAAGGAAUCAGCAUCGGCUAACUCCGUG
RNAcentral lists this ribosomal RNA (435 nucleotides) under uncultured bacterium. Its description in RNAcentral is "partial 16S ribosomal RNA". It matches the Rfam family "Bacterial small subunit ribosomal RNA", at positions 28 to 507 of the family's 1533-position model. The record is from RNAcentral.